CGACGCGUCGGGCAGCGGUUUCGGCGCCAGCUCGUUCAAGUCGAGCGAGAACGCUUCGUUGCGACGGAGCACGUCGAC
RNAcentral lists this transfer RNA (78 nucleotides) under Planctomycetes bacterium MalM25. Its description in RNAcentral is "tRNA-Leu". The record is from RNAcentral. Lineage: Bacteria; Pseudomonadati; Planctomycetota.